UACAUGCAAGUCGAGCGAAUGGAUUGAGAGCUUGCUCUCAAGAAGUUAGCGGCGGACGGGUGAGUAACACGUGGGUAACCUGCCCAUAAGACUGGGAUAACUCCGGGAAACCGGGGCUAAUACCGGAUAACAUUUUGAACCGCAUGGUUCGAAAUUGAAAGGCGGCUUCGGCUGUCACUUAUGGAUGGACCCGCGUCGCAUUAGCUAGUUGGUGAGGUAACGGCUCACCAAGGCAACGAUGCGUAGCCGACCUGAGAGGGUGAUCGGCCACACUGGGACUGAGACACGGCCCAGACUCCUACGGGAGGCAGCAGUAGGGAAUCUUCCGCAAUGGACGAAAGUCUGACGGAGCAACGCCGCGUGAGUGAUGAAGGCUUUCGGGUCGUAAAACUCUGUUGUUAGGGAAGAACAAGUGCUAGUUGAAUAAGCUGGCACCUUGACGGUACCUAACCAGAAAGCCACGGCUAACUACGUGCCAGCAGCCGCGGUAA
RNAcentral lists this ribosomal RNA (491 nucleotides) under marine sediment bacterium ISA-7194. RNAcentral describes it as "bacterial SSU rRNA". It matches the Rfam family "Bacterial small subunit ribosomal RNA", at positions 52 to 523 of the family's 1533-position model. The record is from RNAcentral.